UACGAAGGGGGCUAGCGUUGUUCGGAUUUACUGGGCGUAAAGCGCACGUAGGCGGCUUGGCAAGUCGGGUGUGAAAACUCCAGGCUCAACCUGGAGAUGCCACUCGAGACUGCUAUGGCUAGAGUCCGGUAGGGGACCACGGAAUUCCUGGUGUAGCGGUGAAAUGCGCAGAUAUCAGGAGGAACACCGGUGGCGAAGGCGGUGGUCUGGGCCGGCACUGACGCUGAGGAGCGAAAGCGUGGGGAGCAAACAGG
RNAcentral lists this ribosomal RNA (254 nucleotides) under uncultured bacterium. Its description in RNAcentral is "partial 16S ribosomal RNA". It matches the Rfam family "Bacterial small subunit ribosomal RNA", at positions 524 to 776 of the family's 1533-position model. The record is from RNAcentral.